UCCGGUUUGUCACCGGCAGUCUCCCAUGAGUCCCCAACUUAAUGCUGGCAACAUGCGACGGGGGUUGCGCUCGCUGCGGGACUUAACCCAACAUCUCACGACACGAGCUGACGACAGCCAUGCAGCACCUGUGUUCGCAUUCCCGAAGGCACUCCCGCAUCUCUGCAGGAUUCGCGACAUGUCAAGGCCAGGUAAGGUUCUUCGCGUUGCAUCGAAUUAAACCACAUGCUCCACCGCUUGUGCGGGCCCCCGUCAAUUCCUUUGAGUUUCAGUCUUGCGACCGUACUCCCCAGGCGGGGUACUUACUGUGUUAACGACGGCACCGAGGGGGUCGCUCCCCCCGACGCCUAGUACCCAUCGUUUACGGCGUGGACUAC
RNAcentral lists this unclassified non-coding RNA (377 nucleotides) under uncultured bacterium. RNAcentral's name for it is "contains 16S-23S intergenic spacer region". The record is from RNAcentral.